This 183-nucleotide non-coding RNA is filed under the name Synechococcales cyanobacterium C42_A2020_086. RNAcentral's name for it is "6S / SsrS RNA". It matches the Rfam family "6S / SsrS RNA". From Rfam's summary of the family: E. coli 6S RNA was the first non coding RNA to be sequenced, but its function was unknown until recently. It consists of 184 nucleotides that fold into an extended hairpin structure with a large single-stranded internal bulge. Lineage: Bacteria; Bacillati; Cyanobacteriota; Cyanophyceae; Synechococcales. The record is from Rfam by way of RNAcentral. RNAcentral also lists the same sequence under 2 other names.
GUUCUACUGCGGCGUUGGUGACUGCCAAUAUGUUUUGUGAUCUAUGCUGUUUGAAUGAGGGAAUCUCAACUGUCGGUGGCAGUAGACCGGGCUUGUACCCGGAAACUUUAAACCAGACGUUAAGGUACCCACCUGGAUUUUUCCAGGUCAAAAACUGAGGUAAGACGGCGUCGCGGGGAACUU